This 260-nucleotide ribosomal RNA is filed under the name uncultured archaeon. RNAcentral describes it as "partial 16S ribosomal RNA". It matches the Rfam family "Archaeal small subunit ribosomal RNA", at positions 748 to 1009 of the family's 1478-position model. The record is from RNAcentral.
UAGGCGUAAAUGAUGCGAGUUAAGUGUGGGGGCAUCUACGAGAUGGCCCUGUGCUGUAGGGUAGCCGUUAAACUCGCUGCCUGGGGAGUACGGUCGCAAGGCUGAAACUUAAGGAAUUGGCGGGGGAGCACCACAGGAGGUGGAGGCUGCGGUUCAAUUGGACUCAACGCCGGAAAACUCAUCGGGAGCGACAGCAGUAUGAUCGCCAGGUUGAUGACCUUGCUUGACAAGCUGAGAGGUGGUGCAUGGCGUAGUCGUGU